Non-coding RNA from Meleagris gallopavo (turkey), 593 nucleotides. NCBI's taxonomy places the organism in Eukaryota, Metazoa, Chordata, Aves, Galliformes, Phasianidae. The record is from RefSeq and is a predicted model, not a curated record.
AGAGUAUAUGGAUUAGGAAUAAUAAUAAACUUUCUGUUUAUUUUUUGUUUGUUAAUUUGUUUGUUUCCAAAUUGAUCAGUUUCUGCAGUGCCAAAAAUUCUGUAAUGGCUAAAUGCCAUUGGCAGUUCUCAUGUACUUUGCCUAUAUUAAUCAAGGCCUAAUGUGUUCCUCAAAACCUUUACAAUAGAUUUUUUUGUUGUUGUUCAAGAAUGUAAGAAAAAAAUUAACCUCUUUUUGACCUUUUUUUUUCAGCUAAAAUGAAGUUGUGGUACUGGCUGCUGGAAAAACAAACAGAAGCUGAAUACAUUCAUUAUGAGGCAACAACCCCAGAAGCCCUUAAUUUACAUACCAUAGUUACUGAGUUACUUCUCAGAGGAUAGUAAUUCUCCAUAUUAUUUAACUCUUCAAGUAAAAUCUGUGCGUGGAUGAUUAGCCUUCAACUACACAUUCAACAGAAGUGAUAAAUGAUGGAGUAAAUUCUUGUCUUACCACAUUCUCCUGUCAGACACUCAAGUGACUGCUGAAAUAUGAAGUUACAACAGAACCAGAGAAAUAUUUCCUUAAAGUGCAAUAGAUUCUGAAAGAAAAUUUUU